This is a long non-coding RNA of Eurytemora carolleeae, 1461 nucleotides long. RefSeq lists it as uncharacterized. The transcript is spliced from 4 exons. NCBI's taxonomy places the organism in Eukaryota, Metazoa, Arthropoda, Copepoda, Calanoida, Temoridae. The record is from RefSeq and is a predicted model, not a curated record.
CUGGAUGAAUAGAGUAGUUUGAAGGCUUUAUUGUUAAAGAAUCGCUGCGGCUAGGACUACACUACAGAACGAAUUGGAAUAUAUCCAGAGAGAACAGAAUACACACUACGCUCUUCAGGAUAAGGAUGAGUUGUAUGAAACGGAUCCACAUAUCCGGCGAAUAGAAGGAGCAGAUCGAAGCAACCUGCUCUUUGCCCAGCUUGUUCCUUACGAGCUUUCGGUCAGAUCGGUGCUAGCGCAAUGGCCGAACAAAUAUAAACCAGGAGCUAAAAAGAUAGAUGUUCUGAGUAGAAUAAUGUUCCCUGCUACAUUCAUGGGACUCAACGUGAUGUAUUGGUCCUACUACCUUACUAGAAAUCCGAAUUCUGCAAUGCAUUGACUUGUGUAUUCAAGACCCGGGCCCAAACCUUUCCACUACUUUUAGAAACCUUAAAAACCGUUCCAAAACCAACCCAAGGUUUAUAAUUAAAACUUAAUAAAUUAACAAGAAAGAUGUUUUAAAGAACUCGAGAUGGAUUUAGAUCAAUAUUAAACUUUUUCAUUACAAGACCCAAUACCAUAACAAAAAUUGUUAAUAAUAGUUUAGUACUCUAACAGGAACGUAUUUAACGUUUAAAUCAACUAAAAAUUCUUGAAGUAGAAACUCAUUUCUUUUCUCUAGAAAUUGUCUUUUCAAAAAAAUGUUUUGUAAUUUGUUUUCAGUAAUUUCAUACAAACAGGUUGUAUAAAACUGUGAAAAAUCGUUGGAACAAAAUUUACUUAAUGGAAAAGAAGGCUUUCACCGAGCAACAAAACUACAUCAAUGGAACUAUUAGUAAUUAUAGACCUUUAUUGACAAUGGAAUUCAGGCUUUCAUUGCUUUAUUUUUAUUUUGUAUAGAAGGAAACAUUAUUUUUUUCUUCUUACUAUGGAAAUUGAAUUAAAAUAUUCACUCUGCAGUGUGUAUUGGAAUAUGUAAUUGUAAAAAGCUGUUAUUUUUCACGGACCAUGCAUUUAUUAUGAAACCUUAAACCAAAUGCAAUUCAGGCUUUCACUGCAUAUAUUUGCUAUUUAUUGUAAACAAUGCAGAAUUAUCAAGUAAAACAAAUCUUUGUCUUAAACCUUAGAAAUGGAAUUCAGACUUUCACUAACUGUAAUUUAACAAUGGAAUAUGAUCAAGUUUAAUUUACAAUUUUAAGAACUUAUAUAUUAUAUCAAUAUGCUUUAACAUUAUAUAUUGACUAAUGGAACUUAAAUUUUGAAAUGUGUGCACGCUACAACCUUGUAAUACUGUGUAUUGCACCAGAACUAAAAUUUAAGAUAUUACAACAGAAAAAAAACCUAGUUUCAACCAAAAAAAAAUUUAAAAAAACUCGGUAUUUUGUUUUUUUGUAAUUCCUUGACUUUUAGGUUCUGUUUACUUUUGUACAGUGUACAACUCUUACAUCCCUGUAUUUUGUUAUUCUUGAAAUAUAUAGAUUU